RNAcentral lists this ribosomal RNA (497 nucleotides) under uncultured bacterium. Its description in RNAcentral is "partial 16S ribosomal RNA". It matches the Rfam family "Bacterial small subunit ribosomal RNA", at positions 28 to 507 of the family's 1533-position model. The record is from RNAcentral.
GAUGAACGCUGGCGGCGUGCCUAAUACAUGCAAGUCGAGCGAACAGACGAGGAGCUUGCUCCUCUCACGUUAGCGGCGGACGGGUGAGUAACACGUGGAUAACCUACCUAUAAGACUGGGAUAACUUCGGGAAUGCGGAGCUAAUACCGGAUAAUAUAUUGAACCGCGUUGGUCGAUGGUGAAAGACGGUGGUUCUGGCACUUAUAGAUGGAUCUCCGCCUCAUGAGCGAGUUGUGAAGUUAACGGGUUACUAAGGCAACGAUGCGUAGACGAGGUGAGAGGGUGAUCGGCCACACUGGAACGGAGACACGGACAAGAGGCCUAAGGGAGGGCGCAGUCGGGAAUCGUACGCAAUGGGCGAAAGCCUGACGGAGCAACGCGGCGCGAGUGAUGAAGGUCUUCGGAUCGUAAAACUCUGUUAUUAGGGAAGAACAAAUGUGUAAGUAACUAUGCACGUAUUGACGGUACCUAAUAAGAAAGCAACGGCUAACUACGUG